AGGGUAGGUUCCUAUUAGAAGUUAGGAGGAAAUUCUUCACUUAGAGGAUGGUGAGGCAUCGGAACAGGUUUCACAGAGACGUUGUAGAUGCCCCAUCCCUCAAGAUGUUCAAGACCAGUUUAGAUGAUACCCU
Long non-coding RNA from Oxyura jamaicensis (ruddy duck), 133 nucleotides. RefSeq lists it as uncharacterized. NCBI's taxonomy places the organism in Eukaryota, Metazoa, Chordata, Aves, Anseriformes, Anatidae. The record is from RefSeq and is a predicted model, not a curated record. The transcript has 3 exons.